UAUGUAAUCCCUCCGUCCGAAAAAGCUUGUCCCAAGCUUAUCUCUCAAAUAGAUGUAUCUAGCAUUAACUUGGUGCUAGAUAUAUUCAUUUAAGGGACAAACUUUUUCGGAUGGAGGGAGUAUAUA
This is a non-coding RNA of Triticum aestivum (bread wheat), 126 nucleotides long. NCBI's taxonomy places the organism in Eukaryota, Viridiplantae, Streptophyta, Magnoliopsida, Poales, Poaceae. The record is from Rfam.